GUCUGGAAAGUCCGACGGUACAGGGUGAUAGUCCCGUACACCAAAAUGCACAGGCUGUGAACUCGAAGAGUAGGGCGGGACACGUGGUAUCCUGUCUGAAUAUGGGGGGACCAUCCUCCAAGGCUAAAUACUCCUGACUGACCGAUAGUGAACCAGUACCGUGAGGGAAAGGCGAAAAGAACCCCGGCGAGGGGAGUGAAAAAGAACCUGAAACCGUGUACGUACAAGCAGUGGGAGCACCUUCGGGUGUGACUGCGUACCUUUUGUAUAAUGGGUCAGCGACUUAUAUUCUGUAGCAAGGUUAACCGUAUAGGGGAGCCGCAGGGAAACCGAGUCUUAACUGGGCGUUAAGUUGCAGGGUAUAGACCCGAAACCCGGUGAUCUAGCCAUGGGCAGGUUGAAGGUUGGGUAACACUAACUGGAGGACCGAACCGACUAAUGUUGAAAAAUUAGCGGAUGACUUGUGGCUGGGGGUGAAAGGCCAAUCAAACCGGGAGAUAGCUGGUUCUCCCCGAAAGCUAUUUAGGUAGCGCCUCGUGAAUUCAUCUUCGGGGGUAGAGCACUGUUUCGGCUAGGGGGUCAUCCCGACUUACCAACCCGAUGCAAACUACGAAUACCGAAGAAUGUUAUCACGGGAGACACACGGCGGGUGCUAACGUCCGUCGUGAAGAGGGAAACAACCCAGACCGCCAGCUAAGGUCCCAAAGUCAUGGUUAAGUGGGAAACGAUGUGGGAAGGCACAGACAGCCAGGAUGUUGGCUUAGAAGCAGCCAUCAUUUAAAGAAAGCGUAAUAGCUCACUGGUCGAGUCGGCCUGCGCGGAAGAUGUAACGGGGCUAAACCAUGCACCGAAGCUGCGGCAGCGACACUAUGUGUUGUUGGGUAGGGGAGCG
Molecule: ribosomal RNA, 892 nt
Filed under: Klebsiella pneumoniae
Lineage: Bacteria; Pseudomonadati; Pseudomonadota; Gammaproteobacteria; Enterobacterales; Enterobacteriaceae
Description: partial 23S ribosomal RNA
Rfam family: Bacterial large subunit ribosomal RNA
Source: RNAcentral